AUACGAAGGGUGCAAGCGUUACUCGGAAUUACUGGGCGUAAAGCGUGCGUAGGUGGUUGUUUAAGUCUGUCGUGAAAGCUCUGGGCUCAACCUGGGAAUGGCGAUGGAAACUGGGCGACUAGAGUGUGGCAGAGGGUAGUGGAAUUCCUGGUGUAGCAGUGAAAUGCGUAGAGAUCAGGAGGAACAUCCGUGGCGAAGGCGACUGCCUGGGCCAACACUGACACUGAGGCACGAAAGCGUGGGGAGCAAACAGGAUUAGAUACCCUGGUAGUCCACGCCCUAAACGAUGCGAACUGGAUGUUGGGUGCAAUUUGGCACGCAGUAUCGAAGCUAACGCGUUAAGUUCGCCGCCUGGGGAGUACGGUCGCAAGACUGAAACUCAAAGGAAUUGACGGGG
RNAcentral lists this ribosomal RNA (397 nucleotides) under uncultured bacterium. RNAcentral's name for it is "partial 16S ribosomal RNA". It matches the Rfam family "Bacterial small subunit ribosomal RNA", at positions 523 to 918 of the family's 1533-position model. The record is from RNAcentral.